Molecule: ribosomal RNA, 146 nt
Filed under: uncultured eukaryote
Lineage: Eukaryota
Description: partial 18S ribosomal RNA
Rfam family: Eukaryotic small subunit ribosomal RNA
Source: RNAcentral
UGGUGGAGUGAUUUGUCUGGUUAAUUCCGUUAACGAACGAGACCUCGACCUGCUAACUAGUGCACCGCACGUUUCGAUGUGCGUUUGUGUUUCACUUCUUAGAGGGACACUCGGUGUGUAGCCGAGCGAAGUUCGAGGCAAUAACA